This is a non-coding RNA of Acanthosepion pharaonis, 102 nucleotides long. The record is from the annotation of a GenBank genome assembly. NCBI's taxonomy places the organism in Eukaryota, Metazoa, Mollusca, Cephalopoda, Sepiida, Sepiidae.
GACACUAAAACACUGAUUCAUGUAUGAUCAUCGAAAUUAAGCAAUGUUGAUCCUGGUCAGUACCUAGAUGGGUGACCGCUUGGGAAUACCAGGUGCUGUAAG